Molecule: ribosomal RNA, 301 nt
Filed under: uncultured bacterium
Lineage: Bacteria
Description: partial 16S ribosomal RNA
Rfam family: Bacterial small subunit ribosomal RNA
Source: RNAcentral
CAGUAGCCGCGGGAAUACGGAGGGAGCUAGUGUUGUUCGGAAUUACUGGGCGUAAAGCGCACGUAGGCGGUUAUUCAAGUCAGAGGUGAAAGCCCGGGGCUCAACCCCGGAACUGCCUUUGAAACUAGAUGACUGGAAUCUUGGAGAGGUCAGUGGAAUUCCGAGUGUAGAGGUGAAAUUCGCAGAUAUUCGGAAGAACACCAGUGGCGAAGGCGACUGACUGGACAAGUAUUGACGCUGAGGUGCGAAAGCGUGGGGAGCAAACAGGAUUAGAUACCCCAGUAGUCCCUGUCUCUUAUAC